Astatotilapia calliptera (eastern happy) is the source of this 2252-nucleotide long non-coding RNA. The record is from Ensembl. Lineage: Eukaryota; Metazoa; Chordata; Actinopteri; Cichliformes; Cichlidae.
UCAGACGCAGACCAAAUAUAACACAUAGAACUCAAACAAUAAUAAUCAUCAUCAUCAUCAUAAUAAUAAACUAAAAGCGCUGGGUCACCGACCCAGGACCAUGACAAUUUGUGUUUGUGGCAGUAAUGUGACAAAAUGUGGAAAAGAGGGACGAAUACUUUUGCAAGCCACUGCAAGUACACAGAGAGAUAAUGAGGGGAUGAGGAACAGCUGGGACAAGGGGAAACAAAACUAGACUCACUGCAUAUAGGACAAAGACUUUCCCAAUAAAACAGACAUCACAAGGGUAAUCUAAUAAACAAAUGAACUUAGCAAACCUAAAGAACUUAUAAAUAAACAUCGACAUCUAAACAAACUAAAACUUAAAACGCUGGGUCAACAGACCCAGGAAAGUGACAGUAAAAUCAUUUAUUAUACACAUUAUACUUAUUUUCUUAAAUUGCUUAUCUAUUAUCUGUAUUUUAACUUGGGGGUCUAGGGGUGCUGCAUGUUUAUGAUAACACACUGACAAUAUCAGGACAAUUUUAGCCUUACUCUAUCAGUGAACAGCAUGCCCAUGCUAACUUAAACUAGACCAGCAAGCUAACCCCAUGUGUAUUAAGUGUUACUUCAGAAUAGGAACCAAACAAAUUAACGGAACGAAAUUAACUGUAACAACAGUUUGCAAAACAUUGUGACAGUUCUCAAGUGUUCCUACCUCAAAUCCAGCACGUGUUGCUGUGUUUUUGUUGUUAAAUGGACGAGGAGAGACCGGUGGCUGGUGAGAGGAUGCAGCAUUUCGUCAGUGGAGCAUAGAACGACGUCUCUGAUUGGUCAACAAGUGAGUAAAGAUGCAUCUGAUUGUUCGAAAGCGUCAACCAAAGAGCUGCUGGUCACGGCAAGAUACAAACUCGCCGGAGCUCUGCAUGAACGGCACAUCCGGGACCUUCAGCACUCAGGAGAGAUUUAUCUUGAGGUAUGUAUUUACCUUUGAUAUCCAUGCGUCGACGCAAGCUCCGCGAGGUAAAGUUGUAUGUUUAACAAGCUAAUUAAGGUUAGUUAAACGGAAUUAAAACAAUACACAACCGAUUUGAACAAAUUGAAAGUGGUGAAUGAUGAUAAAUGCUAAAAAAUUACUUAAGAUUUAUCUUUAACAAUAGAUAUUAGAAGUUAAAUUUAACUGUUUUUAAAUUCCCACCGGAGUUAAAGGGACCUGCGGCCUUGCAUGUGCUCUGCAUCUUCAACUGCAGAGACAGUCAGUCUAAGCUCAGUGUAGCUAACUGCAACACACUUUUUUUUUUUCAACACAAGAUAUGCUUGGGGGGAUUUAAAUGAUAAUAUUAAUGUUUUCUUAUUCAGCACAAAUCAAUAAUAUUAUAGUUAUUUGCUCAUGGUCUGGUUCUCUGGCCCAGCGUUUCUGAUGUUAUUCUAAGGUUUUUGAGUUUCUUAUGUUUAAUGGCGGGUUAGUUGAGUUUGGCUUAACGUUAUUAAUAUCGUUUUAAGGAGUUUAUGUUAGGGCUGUAUAUUACCACGUUUGUAUUUUCAUGCCAUGUUUCCUGUUUUAUUUUGAAAGAGUCUGUUGCGUUCAGUUCAUUAAUCUCACUUCCCUGUUGUGUCAAUAGACUCAUUUGUCCAAGCUACUACCCUGCUGUCCCUCUGUCGUGUCUCAACCUCCAACAGGAAAGUAGAAGUCCUCAUAUGACACCAGGUGCCGAGGUCCUGUCUCAACCUCCUUCAGACCAAUUGACACCAAGUGCCGAGGUCCUACCUCAACCUCCUUCAGACCAAUUGGCUCAAGGACCAAGUAUUCUGGGGGUUCCAAGCCACACGCUUUACUCAGCUGCCCUGGACAACAUGAAGGGCACCUCUGGCUCAAUCACCCUGAACAACAAAAACAUUAGCAACACUUCACCAAGAAGGGCUGGGACGGUGAGAAGCAAGUGGACAAAUGAUGAAGUGAAGGUUGCUGAGCGGCACGUUUCACUUCAUAAAAAGCUGCAAAGUACCAGGUAAAAAGGAAUGUGACUGCUGCCUCCAAGCAGAGCCGGCAGCUCUGAAAGACAGAGACUGGGUUGUCAUAAGGUACUACAGCCACAACAGGAUCAUAGCAUUAAAAGAAAGAUGCAAGAAAAAAAGAAACAAGCAAGAGAGAUACUUUGUUACUUCCACAGUUAUGUCAGUAUUGCAGUUUUCUGUAUUGCAUUGUUCUUACUCAUAAAUCUGUGGUUUAUGCUGGGUGCUUUUUGCAAUUAAAUGAUAAAAAAGGCAGAUAA